This 450-nucleotide ribosomal RNA is filed under the name uncultured Acaulospora. RNAcentral describes it as "SSU rRNA". It matches the Rfam family "Eukaryotic small subunit ribosomal RNA", at positions 569 to 1022 of the family's 1831-position model. The record is from RNAcentral. Lineage: Eukaryota; Fungi; Glomeromycota; Glomeromycetes; Diversisporales; Acaulosporaceae.
AGCAGCCGCGGUAAUUCCAGCUCCAAUAGCGUAUAUUAAAGUUGUUGCAGUUAAAAAGCUCGUAGUUGAAUUUCGGAGUUUGUCGGUUGGUCGGGCUUCACUGUCCGCACUGGCCUGAUGGAUUCCUACCUUCUGAAUAACCAGCAUGCUAUUAAGUUAGUGCGUUGGGGAAGCAGAGCUAUUACCUUGAAAAAUUAGAGUGCUUAAAGCAGGCUUAUGCUUGAAUAGAUUAGCAUGGAAUAAUAAAAUAGGACGGCAUGGUUCUAUUUUGUUGGUUUCUAGGAUCACCGUAAUGAUUAAUAGGGAUAGUUGGGGGCAUUAGUAUUCAAUUGUCAGAGGUGAAAUUCUUGGAUUUAUUGAAGACUAACUUCUGCGAAAGCAUUUGCCAAGGAUGUUUUCAUUAAUCAAGAACGAAAGUUAGGGGAUCGAAGACGAUCAGAUACCGUCGUA